Molecule: small RNA, 44 nt
Filed under: Sinorhizobium meliloti 2011
Lineage: Bacteria; Pseudomonadati; Pseudomonadota; Alphaproteobacteria; Hyphomicrobiales; Rhizobiaceae
Description: putative ncRNA
Source: RNAcentral
AAAAUGACGCGGUCGGGAUGAAGCCCGACCUUGGCGAGCGCCGG